UCUUACCGGGACCGACAGCAAUAUGAAGGCCAGGCUGAAGACUUUGCCGGAUUAGCUGAGAGGUGGUGCAUGGCCGUCGUCAGUUCGUACUGUGAAGCAUCCUGUUAAGUCAGGCAACGAGCGAGACCCACGCCCACAGUUGCCAGCGUACUCUCCGGAGUGACGGGUACACUGUGGGGACCGCCGCUGCUAAAGCGGAGGAAGGAAUGGGCAACGGUAGGUCAGUAUGCCCCGAAUAUCCCGGGCUACACGCGAGCUACAAUGGUUGGUACAAUGGGUAUCUACCCCGAAAGGGGACGGGAAUCUCCUAAAACCAAUCUUAGUUCGGAUUGAGGGCUGCAACUCGCCCUCAUGAAGCUGGAAUCCGUAGUAAUCGCGUUUCAACAGAACGCGGUGAAUACGUCCCUGCUCCUU
RNAcentral lists this ribosomal RNA (414 nucleotides) under uncultured Methanosaeta sp. Its description in RNAcentral is "bacterial SSU rRNA". It matches the Rfam family "Archaeal small subunit ribosomal RNA", at positions 925 to 1338 of the family's 1478-position model. Lineage: Archaea; Methanobacteriati; Methanobacteriota; Methanomicrobia; Methanotrichales; Methanotrichaceae. The record is from RNAcentral.